RNAcentral lists this ribosomal RNA (486 nucleotides) under uncultured bacterium. Its description in RNAcentral is "partial 16S ribosomal RNA". It matches the Rfam family "Bacterial small subunit ribosomal RNA", at positions 28 to 507 of the family's 1533-position model. The record is from RNAcentral.
GACGAACGCUGGCGGCGUGCUUAACACAUGCAAGUCGAACGCUGAAGACCUGGCUUUUGUUGGGUUGGAUGAGUGGCGAACGGGUGAGUAACACGUGAGUAACCUGCCCUCUUCUUUGGGAUAACGCCCGGAAAUGGGUGCUAAUACUGGAUAUUCACUGGCCUUCGCAUGGGGGUUGGUGGAAAGGUUUGUUCUGGUGGGGGAUGGGCUCGCGGCCUAUCAGCUUGUUGGUGGGGUGAUGGCCUACCAAGGCUUUGACGGGUAGCCGGCCUGAGAGGGUGACCGGUCACAUUGGGACUGAGAUACGGCCCAGACUCCUACGGGAGGCAGCAGUGGGGAAUAUUGCACAAUGGGCGAAAGCCUGAUGCAGCGACGCCGCGUGAGGGAUGGAGGCCUUCGGGUUGGAAACCUCUUUCGCUCAUGGUCAAGCCGCAACUGUGGGUUGUGGUGAGGGUAGUGGGUAAAGAAGCGCCGGCUAACUACGUG